CUCUAUUGGCCCCUCGCCCGAGUUGUAAUUUGUAGAAGGUGUCUCGGGGGCGACGACGACGCAAGUUUCCUGGAAAGGAACGUCGCAGAGGGUGAGAAUCCCCGUAUGCUGUCGAACGUCAAUCCAGCGUGGAGACCCUUUCGACGAGUCGAGUUGUUUGGGAAUGCCAGCUCAAAAUGGGGUGGUAAAUUUCAUCUAACUCUAAAUAUCCGCCCGAAACCGAUAGCACACAAGUAAGAGUGAUCGAAAGGAUGAAAAGAACUUUGAAAAGAGAGUGAAACAGUACGUGAAAUUGUUGAAAGGGAAGCGCUUGCAAUCAGACUCGUCCGCGCUUGUUCAGCCUCUCCUUCGGGCAAGGUGCAUUCUUGCGCGGACGGGCCAGCAUCGAUUUCGGCGGCCGGACAAAGGUCUUGGGAAUGUAGCUCCUUUCGGGGAGUGUUAUAGCCUGAGGUGUAAUGCGGCCAGUCGGGAUUGAGGACCGCGCUUUUGCUAGGAUGCUGGCGUAAUGGUUGCUAGCGACCCGUCUUGAAACACGGACCAAGGAGUCGACCAACCGCGCGAGUGUUUGGGUGUCAAGCCCACAACGCGCAAUGAAAGUGAACGCAGGUGGGAAGCUUCGGCUGCACCAUCGACCGAUCUUGAUGUCUUCGGAUGGAUUUGAGUACGAGCGCGUUUGGUCGGACCCGAAAGUCAUGUGAUCUAUGCGUGAAUAGGGUGAAGCCAGAGGAAACUCUGGUGGAGGCUCGCAGCGGUUCUGACGUGCAAAUCGAUCGUCAAAUUUGCGCAUAGGGGCGAAAGACUAAUCGAACUGACUAGUAGCUGGUUCCUGUCGAAGUUUCCCUCAGGAUAGCAGCAGCGAGCAACAGUCUCAUGAGGUAGAGCGAACGAUUAGAGGACUGGGGGGCGCAAUGCCCUUCUCCUAUUCUCGAACUUCGAAUACGUGAGAAGGCCUGUUACUAAUGAACGUGACAAACGGAGAUCGCUUGCGAACGGAAAAUGAAAAACUUCCC
Molecule: ribosomal RNA, 1010 nt
Filed under: Hemithecium chlorocarpum
Lineage: Eukaryota; Fungi; Ascomycota; Lecanoromycetes; Ostropales; Graphidaceae
Description: LSU rRNA
Rfam family: Eukaryotic large subunit ribosomal RNA
Source: RNAcentral